UCUAAAAUAGUUAAUGAAAGGGUAAGGUAUACUAGUCUAAUAAGAAUAUAAUACUGUUCACCGAUAGGAAAAAGGAAGGUUGGUAAAAAAUUAUAAAAACAACCAAUGGAAUUCUUGAUUUAAGUAAAUUCAUUUACUAUGAAGAAAAAGCAUUUAUUGCAUAUAUUUACCGUUGCGAGAUUUUUAAAAUCGAUCUAUAGAGACAAUAACUUAAAUAACAUCCUAAUCUCAUAUUCAAGUGAGCAAGAGCAAU
RNAcentral lists this long non-coding RNA (253 nucleotides) under Carica papaya (papaya). Its description in RNAcentral is "long non-coding RNA (CPAP_LNC015683)". Lineage: Eukaryota; Viridiplantae; Streptophyta; Magnoliopsida; Brassicales; Caricaceae. The record is from RNAcentral.